Acanthopagrus latus (yellowfin seabream) is the source of this 1073-nucleotide long non-coding RNA. RefSeq lists it as uncharacterized. The record is from RefSeq and is a predicted model, not a curated record. NCBI's taxonomy places the organism in Eukaryota, Metazoa, Chordata, Actinopteri, Spariformes, Sparidae. The transcript is spliced from 2 exons.
GUAGAGACACAGCCCGGCACGCGACAUGAUCACAACGCUCUGUCACGUCAUCAUUUCGAACAUAAACAAAACUGACAGUUGAACGUGACGAGCCGCGGCCAUUUUAAAAGAUUUCACUGAACGUCUUUCGGAGAAGCACAACCUCAACCGACGACUGUUCUCAUCCCGACACCAACUAAACCGACAACUGACGAGGACCAGGUCUGUUUCAGCACGGACCAUGUGAGAUUUCUACCCAUAGGCGGCACCAAGGAGGGGCUUGCCGGUGCUUCAGCUCCCCCUAGUAGUGGCAUAGCACCCCCGCAAUCCAAUAAUAAUAUUUUUAAGACAUCUCAUGCGCUUUGUAUCUAAUUUCUGUCUGAAAAUGUCCUUAAUGAAUUAUGUUAUCAAAUGUAUUUAUUGAUUUUAACUCAAGGUCAAAUGUGAAGUGUCAGGUGUCACGUAUUUGUGUCGGCUACGUUGUCGGCUAUCAUUGUAUGACUAUGAAUGUCAACAACAACAACAACUUUGUGGAAUCCGACGGUACCGCGAUAUCAGAAUCAGAUGGCCCUACUUCUCGUCUCCCUCGCUUGGAAGACCCAGUUACCGCGCCUGCGGUUACUGAUGUGGAGAAAGGUACCGUUAUGGAAUCGGGCAGCAACAGGACCUCACAGUCGGAUGGGGAGGCUACCGCGACCGCCUCAAGCGCUGGUCCCAGCCCCGCGCCCGGGGAGCUAAUGCCCGGAGCCAGGGAGCUCACGCCUGCUGAUGCUGAUAGCACCACACGCACGGCUUGUGGACCCCAUGAUCGGCAACAAUUUGUGUUUCCACUGUCCUGCAGUUGUGUUUUGAGAUGGCGGCCUCAUAGGUCGGUGCCUCAUGACUGCAUGUUCAGGUUGUGCUGGUGCUAGACGAGGAGCGCCCCCAGUCAGUGCUGGAGCACAGCCAAAGCACCUGCAAUCAAAUUUCAAUGGCGCUGCCCCUAAGAAGAUAUAGGAGGCCCUGAGAGGGAGGGCUAAUCACACAAGAUAUGUAACACUUAUAUAAUAAUUAACCUAACAAAAUAAACUUGAAUGGUAUCAUGUAGGAACUAA